UACGGGAGGCAGCAGUAGGGAAUCUUCCGCAAUGGACGAAAGUCUGACGGAGCAACGCCGCGUGAACGAUGAAGGCUUUCGGGUCGUAAAGUUCUGUUGUUAGGGAAGAACAAGUACCGGAGUAACUGCCGGUACCUUGACGGUACCUAACCAGAAAGCCACGGCUAACUACGUGCCAGCAGCCGCGGUAAUACGUAGGUGGCAAGCGUUGUCCGGAAUUAUUGGGCGUAAAGCGCGCGCAGGCGGUCCUUUUAAGUCUGACGUGAAAGCCCACGGCUCAACCGUGGAGGGUCAUUGGAAACUGGGGACUUGAGUGCAGAAGAGGAGAGUGGAAUUCCACGUGUAGCGGUGAAAUGCGUAGAGAUGUGGAGGAACACCGAGUGGCGAAGGCGACUCUCUGGUCUGUAACUGACGCUGAGGCGCGAAAGCGUGGGGAGCGAACAGGGAUUAGAUACC
RNAcentral lists this ribosomal RNA (456 nucleotides) under uncultured bacterium. RNAcentral describes it as "bacterial SSU rRNA". It matches the Rfam family "Bacterial small subunit ribosomal RNA", at positions 340 to 786 of the family's 1533-position model. The record is from RNAcentral.